GGAGGAUUGGCCGAGAGGCAAGGCACCGGCUUGCUAAGCCGAGGUCGGGGUGUCCCCCCGCGCACGUUCGAUCCGUGCAUCCUCCG
RNAcentral lists this transfer RNA (86 nucleotides) under Streptomyces adustus. It matches the Rfam family "tRNA". Rfam says of the family: Transfer RNA (tRNA) molecules are approximately 80 nucleotides in length. Their secondary structure includes four short double-helical elements and three loops (D, anti-codon, and T loops). RNAcentral also lists the same sequence under 1 other name. Lineage: Bacteria; Bacillati; Actinomycetota; Actinomycetes; Kitasatosporales; Streptomycetaceae. The record is from Rfam by way of RNAcentral.